This 450-nucleotide ribosomal RNA is filed under the name uncultured bacterium. RNAcentral describes it as "partial 16S ribosomal RNA". It matches the Rfam family "Bacterial small subunit ribosomal RNA", at positions 354 to 796 of the family's 1533-position model. The record is from RNAcentral.
GUGGGGAAUCUUCCGCAAUGGACGAAAGUCUGACGGAGCGACGCCGCGUGAGUGAAGAAGGCCUUCGGGUCGUAAAGCUCUGUCAUCAGGGACGAACGGCCGGUGGAGUGGAAAGCCACCGGAUUGACGGUACCUGAGAAGGAAGCCACGGCUAACUACGUGCCAGCAGCCGCGGUAAUACGUAGGUGGCAAGCGUUGUCCGGAAUUAUUGGGCGUAAAUCGCGCGCAGGUGGGAUCUUAAGUCCAUUUUUAAAGUUCGGAGCUCAACUCCGUGAUGGGAUGGAAACUGGGAUUCUUGAGUACCGGAGAGGAAAGCGGAAUUCCCCGUGUAGCGGUGAAAUGCGUAGAUAUGGGGAGGAACACCAGUGGCGAAGGCGGCUUUCUGGACGGUGCCUGACACUGAGGCGCGAAAGCUAGGGGAGCGAACGGGAUUAGAAACCCCAGUAGUCC